GUGAGAUUAGCAUCCAGAAUCUCACAACUCUAGUGGUUGUUCGGCAACUUUCUUAGCUGUCGCUGCUCGAAGGAUAUUUAUUGUGAAUUUUGUGCGUUGUAGCUGACGGAAAUAACCCAUCUAUGCGCAAGAAAAAGCGUCCAACAGAUCGAGGUCAUCAGUUCUCUUUCAACAGAGAGCUUCCUCAAGAGAGCAAAGUUCUUGGCAUCAAAGACCGCGUCUAAAUGGCAAAAGGCGCGCUAAAUCUAACAAAAGCGACCUCAGGUACACAUGGUGCGGAUCUGAUGGAGGCUCUUCUGUUAGCUUUUGAGGAGAAAAUGGAGAGGAAAGGACUGACAUCGAGCCAACUGAGCUUAUCAUCAACUGGAAGCACAGCUAGUCCGGACCCCUCUCUUGUUUCUACACCAUCUACCACACGGUUUUCUUUUCCUUUAGCGUCUUCCACUCCAUCUUUGGGUAUUUCUUUGCCUUCCUCUGAUGCUGUUUCUCCAGUUUCCCCUCCACAUGCAGAACAUACACCACAAAGAAUGCAGAUCACCGCGCCUUCAGCAGAGAACGACCCCAUAUACAUGGUGUAUCUCUUCAGCGAGGAAGCUCUGCGAACUCUGUAUUUUUUUUUUUGUAACACUCUCUCCACAGCAUGCUGUUACUAUGGAAAACUCAUUGAUUGCGAUUUACUAAUCUUCAAUCGACAAAGUCACGUUGUGUCCGUAACAGUUUCAUGUGUAUGUGGAGAUUCAUUCAAGUGGCUCUCCUCCUCUAUCAUGGGAGGAUCUCCUCCAAAGUACUAUGUAAAUUUGAGUCUUGAAAAAGCAUUGUUAUGCAACCAUUGUGAAAAGGGUUUGCAAUGAGUCCAUGUCUGCUGCCUAGGAAGAAGUGAAAAGCACCCCUGGGUAUAUUGUAAAUGGAGAGAACAGUCUACUCAGUGAGCAAGAAUUUCAGGCUAACCUGCUGAUUGUUGCUGACCAUUAUCAGGGAAAUCAUGUCAAUUGCCAUUCAAAGUCACGGUGCAAGUAGAAUGGCUACCUAAUGAGCAAAAGGUUUGAACUAAACCUGAAGCUGUAGCUGCAUAUAGGAAAGCCAUUAUGGGCACCUCAAUAUACAGACAUGCAUAUGAUUACAUGCGGUGAUGCUCAUUUAAUGCUGCUAAGUGGAUCCAUUAUGGGGAUGACACCUACAACAUGCACAUGGAACUAGUCAUUCUUGAUUGGGUAAAAGACUUAUGCUGUUGUUAAUUCUGCACAAUUGCUUUGGCACUUUUCGAAUGCUAUGCUUACUCUUUCUUAUUGACUUAUUUCUCUUGCAGAAUGAAAAUGUGAAUAGAGAUGUAUAAUGUCUCUGCAGAUGUACUAACAUGCCAGGCAUCCGAAUCGUCCGGCAGAGAUCAGGGUUUUUACUGCAAAAACAUUCAAAUUCAGGGAAUUAAACCAUCUGGUCUACCUUUUUAAAUCUAAAUAACUAAUGUCCAUUCUGCUUACCAGUGAUUCUGACUUCCUGCGAUAACUUUAAAUGGGAGCUCAAAUGUCUUACCUCACAUCUUGUUAAAAGAUGUGAGGUAACAAGGGAAAAAUAAUUACAGCAACUGCUGGUACUAAGUAGUGAAGCAUUCAUGAGUAUUACAGUGUAGGUAUUACUCAAGGGACUUUCCAUGCAGUUUUAUUGAUGUUUCGACCUCUUAAUUUUCUUUUGACUGUACAUGUUUCAUGAACUUAUUCAAUUGUUAUUUAUAAUUGCUCUCCUUGACAUGGGCAUUUGUAUGACAAUUUGCUUAUUCCCUUUUAUGCCCCAUGUAAGGAAUGCCUGGAGGGUUAGGAAACCUUGACCUCACAUCUUUUAUAACACAAUUGGGCAUCUUUUCCCGCGCUGCAUUAACUUGGUCCCAAGUUUUACUUUUCUGGCCUGGUAAACAGGGUCUUUCCAGAGCCCACACUACUUUAGAGAUC
Molecule: unclassified non-coding RNA, 1943 nt
Organism: Stylophora pistillata
Lineage: Eukaryota; Metazoa; Cnidaria; Anthozoa; Scleractinia; Pocilloporidae
Source: RefSeq, a predicted model, not a curated record